UGUAGCGGUGAAAUGCGUAGAGAUCUGGAGGAAUACCGAUGGCGAAGGCGGCCAUCUGGCCUAACACUGACGCUGAGGUGCGAAAGCAUGGGGAGCAAACAGGAUUAGAUACCCUGGUAGUCCAUGCCGUAAACGAUGUCUACUAGCCGUUGGGGCCUUUGAGGCUUUAGUGGCGCAGCUAACGCGAUAAGUAGACCGCCUGGGGAGUACGGUCGCAAGACUAAAACUCAAAUGAAUUGACGGGGGCCCGCACAAGCGGUGGAGCAUGUGGUUUAAUUCGAUGCAACGCGAAGAACCUACCUGGCCUUGACAUAGUAAGAACUUUCCAGAGAUGGAUUGGUGCCUUCGGGAACUUACAUACAGGUGCUGCAUGGCUGUCGUCAGCUCGUGUCGUGAGAUGUUGGGUUAAGUCCCGCAACGAGCGCAACCCUUUUCCUUAUUUGCCAGCGAGUAAUGUCGGGAACUUUAAGGAUACUGCCAGUGACAAACUGGAGGAAGGCGGGGACGACGUCAAGUCAUCAUGGCCCUUACGGCCAGGGCUACACACGUGCUACAAUGGUCGGUACAAAGGGUUGCUACCUAGCGAUAGGAUGCUAAUCUCAAAAAGCCGAUCGUAGUCCGGAUUGGAGUCUGCAACUCGACUCCAUGAAGUCGGAAUCGCUAGUAGUCGCGGAUCAGAAUGCCG
RNAcentral lists this ribosomal RNA (685 nucleotides) under uncultured Acinetobacter sp. RNAcentral describes it as "bacterial SSU rRNA". It matches the Rfam family "Bacterial small subunit ribosomal RNA", at positions 674 to 1359 of the family's 1533-position model. Lineage: Bacteria; Pseudomonadati; Pseudomonadota; Gammaproteobacteria; Moraxellales; Moraxellaceae. The record is from RNAcentral.